CCCACAACAACAGGGCAUGGUUCUAUUUCUGUCCGGCCAAGCUGGACAGGGGAUCAAAUGGGAAUGUGGUGCAGGCCGAUCCAUAUAGGAGGCCAAAUGCCACAGCCGCCCCCGCGACUGUAAGCGGUGAGUGUUCGUCCAAUCCACUGGGAAACCGGGAAGGGGGCGAAGCGCACAUUGACCCGCGAGCCAGGAGACCUGCCAUGCGUAUUGAAACCGA
This 220-nucleotide non-coding RNA is filed under the name Octadecabacter antarcticus. The record is from RNAcentral. Lineage: Bacteria; Pseudomonadati; Pseudomonadota; Alphaproteobacteria; Rhodobacterales; Roseobacteraceae.